This is a long non-coding RNA of Harmonia axyridis, 782 nucleotides long. RefSeq lists it as uncharacterized. NCBI's taxonomy places the organism in Eukaryota, Metazoa, Arthropoda, Insecta, Coleoptera, Coccinellidae. The record is from RefSeq and is a predicted model, not a curated record. The transcript is spliced from 4 exons.
UCAUAUGAUCAAAACAUUAAACUCACAUUCAGAAAAUCGCUAAUUUUUCUCUCAUUCUGAAUUGAACACAUAGUUAAUCUGAUUGAUUCGAUUUGUAAAAGUGUUGAACAUUCUAAUAAAAGGAAUUAGCGAAUCCAUCUGCUAUUGCGAAAUUCAAAGCACCAAAAGAACUAAUUUUCAAAUAAAAUGCCUCACACUCGUGCAGCCUUCAAUUGUACAGCGAGAUUAGAAAAAAGCCAAAAGUUGAAAUUUCAUUCUUCACAGUUUUCCAAAGGAUGACAAAUUAAGGGAACAGUGGAUGAAAGCUGAAGAAGAAUUGAUUUCAACCCUUUUUCCUUGUUGAAAAUAUGCAGCAACCGUUUUCAUCAACAUGAUUUAAAUAUUCAUGGUACAAAAACUCUGAAAAAAGAUGUUAUUCCUUCAGUUUUCAGUUUCUCCAAUUAUAUGCCUGAGAGAUUAAAUUAUGGAGAUAAAUGUCUUGAAGAUAAUAUUGAAGAAAUUGAACAGGACCAGCCAGAGACAAAACAGCAAGAGAUGGGGCAACCAGAGACGGUACAACUGUUUAUAAUAUCAAAAUCCUCUGCUGCUGCCAUGGAAGAUUUUCCCCCCAGAUUGAAUACUAAUAUUAGAAAUACUAGAAAUUAGAAACCUGGGAAUGAGGAUUUCCAAGAAUGGAACACUAGACGAAGUAAUAUCUGAGAGAAACAUCCAAAGAAAACCAAUAAUCUCAAUGUUAAAUAGGAUAUUAUCGAUUGAAAACAUAAAUGUAAAUAAUAAGAAAA